CCGGUGCGCAGGCGAGGGUUACUUCCACUUCUAAUGGGCAGGUCGGGGGUUCGAAUCCCUCCCGGACCA
RNAcentral lists this transfer RNA (69 nucleotides) under Amycolatopsis lexingtonensis. RNAcentral's name for it is "tRNA-OTHER". The record is from RNAcentral. Lineage: Bacteria; Bacillati; Actinomycetota; Actinomycetes; Pseudonocardiales; Pseudonocardiaceae.